GCGGAUGUGGCGUAAUGGCAGCCGCGCCAGACUUAGGAUCUGGUGCCGCAAGGCGUGGGGGUUCGAGUCCCUCCAUCCGCACCA
This 84-nucleotide transfer RNA is filed under the name Cyclobacteriaceae bacterium. Its description in RNAcentral is "tRNA-Leu". It matches the Rfam family "tRNA". Rfam says of the family: Transfer RNA (tRNA) molecules are approximately 80 nucleotides in length. Their secondary structure includes four short double-helical elements and three loops (D, anti-codon, and T loops). Lineage: Bacteria; Pseudomonadati; Bacteroidota; Cytophagia; Cytophagales; Cyclobacteriaceae. The record is from RNAcentral.